Molecule: ribosomal RNA, 497 nt
Filed under: uncultured bacterium
Lineage: Bacteria
Description: partial 16S ribosomal RNA
Rfam family: Bacterial small subunit ribosomal RNA
Source: RNAcentral
GAUGAACGCUGGCGGCGUGCCUAAUACAUGCAAGUCGAGCGAACAGACGAGGAGCUUGCUCCUCCGACGUUAGCGGCGGACGGGUGAGUAACACGUGGAUAACCUACCUAUAAGACUGGGAUAACUUCGGGAAACCGGAGCUAAUACCGGAUAAUAUAUUGAACCGCAUGGUUCAAUAGUGAAAGACGGUUUUGCUGUCACUUAUAGAUGGAUCCGCGCCGCAUUAGCUAGUUGGUAAGGUAACGGCUUACCAAGGCGACGAUGCGUAGCCGACCUGAGAGGGUGAUCGGCCACACUGGAACUGAGACACGGUCCAGACACCUACGGGAGGCAGCAGUAGGGAAUCUUCCGCAAUGGGCGAAAGCCUGACGGAGCAACGCCGCGUGAGUGAUGAAGGUCUUCGGAUCGUAAAACUCUGUUAUUAGGGAAGAACAAAUGUGUAAGUAACUAUGCACGUCUUGACGGUACCUAAUCAGAAAGCCACGGCUAACUACGUG